Molecule: long non-coding RNA, 5599 nt
Organism: Triticum aestivum (bread wheat)
Lineage: Eukaryota; Viridiplantae; Streptophyta; Magnoliopsida; Poales; Poaceae
Exons: 2
Source: RefSeq, a predicted model, not a curated record
CCGCACGGUUGUUUUUCCACGUCCAUGGCCGGUGGGCUCGUCCGAACUUUCUAUUGGCUGGGUGAACUCCUGGCGGGUGCGAACAAGCGUAUCCUCGCGCGUCGCGCGGCUUCCUCUGCCCCAAACCCUACACCCCACCCCAAUCCCUCCAGCCGCCACUGCCCCACCCAUGUUUCUCCUCGCGCGCUCGCCCCAGACCAGCCGCCGCCGCGCCGCUGGGGCUCGUCCGCCACGGGUUUCCAUGGGGAAGGAGCAGCGACGGGGUAGGCUCCAGGCGGCACACACUUCAUGGGGAGGCAAGGAACCAGAAGGUGAUGGGGUCGGAUCUGGCGGUGGUAGGUCGAAGCUCGAUCCCGAGGCCUAGACGGGGAAGGUUAAAAAAUAGAGAGACCGGAUGGAGGUGGUCGAGGCGGAGGACCGCCAGCCGGUGAGCUCGAGCUUGAGACGGUGAGAUCCCUUUCCCCAUCUCUAUUCUCUCAGUUUCUUCCUCUCCAAAUCUUCAUUUAUCGCCUCUCGCCCUUAGCACAAUUAGCGUCACCGGCCAUUGUAUGGGUUGGAGCACGAGGCAGCGCUCCCGUCACUACGUGGUGGAGCUGCGUAGGAUGGGGAGCAGGCUGGCAACAGGGAUUGGUUCUUCAGUUCAUUUGCUGCAGGACAGAAUGUUCUAUGGGUUGGAGCAGAGGGUGUUGAGCAACAUCUGAGAUUGGGUGAGUGCUCAGGUUCUAUAACUGACUUUUCUUCAAGUAUGGCUGUAGUAAUUCAAAGAAAAACAAAUAGCAUGCAGAUUUGCUUGUUUCAUCUAAAUCAAGGAAUUUUAUAAUGUGCAAAUCAACACUAUAUAGUAUACAACAGCGAACGGAGAUACUAACCACACGAUCUCAUUACGUGUUGCACGCGAGAUCGCAGGGUGCAGCUUGGUAGCGCCGGCAUGGAUGCGUGUUAACCAUAGCGUUGAAGGCAAUCUUCCCCCUCCCGAAAUGCCCUAGGCGCAGCAGCGAUGGCGCAGCCAUGAUUGCUGGAAGUCUCCUCCAUGUUCGAUCUCGAUAAACUGACUGUCGUUCCCCACGCCACUCUCGCAUGAUUCAAUGGAACUUAAAUUUUGAGUGCUACAAUCAACCCGUUUGCCUGUUUGCACAUCUGUAUUUCGGUUAUAAAAAUUGACUCAUUCUUUAGUUCGUUAUUACUCAGGUCACCGCAGCACUGACCUUCUAUUAGGUAUACACACACCAAAAUUUCCAUGCCACUAGAAAUAUUUGCAUUCUUUUAAUGGGUCGAGUCACACAGAAGGUUGAACUUUCAAUGCUUUUUACUCAGCAUAGACGUAUUUUCUGUAGUCGAAGACUUUUGACAAUGUGUGGAAUCUGGCAAAUCAUUUUCAGUUUUGAGUUCAUCUGAGUCAGGCUCUGUAUCAAAUUGUCUUCAGUGUAGCAUUCACUUGAGUUGGAUUUUGUAUUGGUUUAUAUUUUGUGGUAGAAUAUCCCAUAUUGUGUACUCUGGGACCAGGUCUAUUUCAACACACACGAACCCAUUGACCUCCCAUGUUCCUGGGGAGCGUUGCAUGUCGGAAAAGUUAGGGGUUGCGUCACACAAAGUUCUGCAUUGACACUUGGAAAGUAAGUGAAGUGAUAUGCCAUUUGCUGAGGCUAUCUACAAUCCUGUUAAAAGGCAACUGCUAAACACUGAAGGGCAAUGGAAUUCAAUUUGUAGAUAUUCGCAGUUUGAUAAAUUAUAUUAGUGGUAUUUCUUGUAUUUAUAUAAGGAAAACAAAAAUAGCUACCUUUGUGUGAAUUACAGUGCUAAUGAUCAGUUCUUUGUCUCAGGCAUGAAUGUACAGAUUCAAGAUUUCCUUUCACCUAGGCUUGGUCAGUUGGCCACUUCAAUUCCCACUUCUUGUCAUGUGAUCUUGAUGUGGAUACUUCGACAUUACAUACAAAAUAUGACGCAUUCUGUAGAAGUUACUAAUGGUCAAAAUUUUACUGAAUCCGUCACUUGCUUACUCCUAUUCACAUUUCAGCCUCCUUGCAUGGUAGAGCAUAACAUGGUUCCUGAUGUUCCAUUCUAACUACCUAAUAAUUUUAGGACACUGGUGUUGGUUUUUGGGGAAAUGGAAUGCCUAAGAUGCACUGUCCUUUUGUUCCAAAAAUAACCGCAAAAUCAUUGACACAUUGUUGUGUGGUUUAUGACAUCUGUUGUUUAUAUCUUCGAGUGACUAACUUCAAGUUGAAGUCGAGAUUGCUUACUGAUCACAUGCUUUAGGCAGUAGUAAUUACAAUCUUUAUCUCUGUUUGAGAAGCAAAGAUGAAUUAUUUUGAACUUCGGAUUAGUUGAGUUAGGAGCUAUAUGUACCAGUUUUGUUUGAUCAACCACGAGUUCUAUUGUAAUCCUUUUUGAUACAUUUUUUAGAUUUUUGUAUCCAGCUGAAUCUUCGUGUUCCGCCGUGGCCGUGAUAUCUCAUGCGUUAUCAUGCAGCUGAAUCUUUAUUUACAAUGUCGUAAUAUCUCAUGCGUUAUCAUUCAUUCAUUCUUAUUUUAGGUGAUGCGUUGACCUGAACGGCAUGGUGGUAAGGCAUCAUAAUAGGUGCUACUAUUGGCUAGAAUGGCGCCGUGGUAAGGCAUUCUAAGGUUCCAUAUGAUUAGUGUUUGGGUGACUGUUGUUGAUUCCUACACCGAGUUGUGUUGCUGUACAAAUAGCCUCUCUUGUUGGUGGUGCCACGGUGUCCCUUCCAGGUUUAGCAGCGGGCAAUGCUUAAGACAGAGUUGGGUGCACAUCAUAUAUAUACAUAUGUUGUCGCGUCUUAAUAAAGGGAGAUGAGCAGAAGUAGAGAUGAGAUAUCUAUCUGACUGUCAUCCUUCCAAGACUUGGGUUUGUCAUCUCUGUCAGCGUCCGCUUUUGCUUCCUUCGUUGGUUGUCGCUUCUUUGUACACUGCUGUAGUUUAGAGAUUGUAAUAUAUUUUCCAUGGAUACAAUUGAAUAUGACACCCAAUUUGCUAUAUAAUUGUCCAGCUCUCUCUCAUAGCGAUUCAUACAAAAUAUCAUGCAUAAUGGUCCCAGUUUAAGUAGAAUAUAACCAUUGGAUUAUUCAAACUUUGCUCGUGUGUCACAGGGCACCAUAACUUUAAUCCGACAUGAGCAGUGCAACCACGACAGUGAGCAGUGGAAUCACAAGAUAGAGAUAGACACAAGUAGAAUAUAACUGGUCAUAUUUCUACAAUGACCACACUACUUAUGGUGCCGGAAGAGAAGGCAUCAGUGAUAGUGGGCUUGGUGAUGAGGGCAUCAAUACAAAGAUAUUAAUUCACAACUCUGUUCUUGAUAGGUUGUACCAAAUAUAUAAGGUUACUGUUUCCUUUUAUGUUUAAAUAGCUUUGUGAGUACAAUUAUAUGAAAAUUCUGUGAUUCAUGGUGCGGAAGCAGGCAUCUUUGUUUUCUUGAGUGAAAAUACUUAGUUUCAUGCCUCCAUAGUAUUAUUUAGAGGCACAAUCCAAUGAUAGAUUCCUACUUAUAGCUAGCUAAUAUAUAGCGUUUGAUGGUACUGUAUGAUGUUGUAAAUACAAAAUAUGCUGCAUGAGCAUUACUUUUAUUUUGAAUUUAAUUUAGUGUUUGAGCCUCUUUUACAUAUUAAGUGUAAUAUCACAGACUUCUUUCAGAGUUAACUGGCCAUGCAAAAACUGUUGUGAAGGCAUUAAAUGGUACUCCCUCCGUCCCAAAAUAAGUGUCUCAACUUUGUACUAGCUUCAGUUUAAAGUUGUACUAAGGUUGAAACACUUAUUUUGGGAUGGAGGGAGUAUAUGUUUUAGGCCUGCUUUUGUUCACUUUUGUCCUUUCCAAAGUGGAAUAAGAAAAAGAAAGUCAAAAUAGGCUCAACCAUGACUACUCUGCUCUUGUGUGCACCAUUAUAUUUUUUUAGACCUGAACCAUUUGAUUGAGGAGAGGUGUGUCAAAUAAACUCCCCUAUUCAAACCUGAAUCCAAACACAUGUGGUCUCCUUUUGAAAGUGAUUAUAUCUGUCAUGCUCUUCAAUACCAAUGUGGACAUAUCGCCACUAAUUUUCCACCAUCAAGUUAGCCUACCUGCACAUCAUGCAAGGCUCAUGGCUCAGUGUUACAAUAGCUAUGUUGUUUCUCCCACAUCAACCAUGCGGUCGUUACUAAAGCUUAGUUGUUGAAUCUGUACGUGCUCCAUUGCGCACAAGAAAGUAGUGACUAUUUAUUUGCUUAAACAAUAUGUCGAGCCACCAAUUUUUGCCCGUCCUGCUAAUAUUCCUUUAUGGAUGUAUCGCACAAAUUUCAGUUAUUGGAUAUGAAAUGUAGGUUCUCUAUUCAGAGCUGGGUCCAACGAUAUGUAGUCCCCUUUUCCAAGCUAAUGUAGGUUCUCAUGUCUGUCAUAUCCAUAUGUAUUAUGGUGUCUCAGUUUUGUCACCAGCCUCUUUCACCGACCCGUAAACUAUCUGUCUCUAGGUCUCCCCAACUGUCUUUGGGUUUAGAAAACAAAUAACUAUUUUUGGACUUAUUCUCGCACCGGCUACUUUGUAGGUAUUAUGUGUGUUGUUAGGGAUCUGAUAUCGUGUAGUUCCAGGGAUUUCAGAAGGUCUGGUCGGUCCAUUGUUCUUGCCAUGUGUUACUUUUUCUCAUUACUAUGAUCGUCAGUGCUCUUGACAUCGGUUGUUCUUGCUUUAUGGUUGCCUUUUCAAUGCACUUUUAUUAGUUCUAAUAUAUUAAUUUUAAUAUGCUUGACUAACCAUAUUAUAUAUUUCACGUCAACGGGGUGGUUCAAGUGUUGGUCAAAAUAUUUUGGUUAAAAACAUUGUCUCUAAUUAUCAAGUGUAUAUAGUUGAAUCUUCUUGAUUGACUAUUUUGUAUCCUGCUCUUAGUUGCACAAUAUUAAUUCUUAAAACUGGAGCUCUUAAAAUUAGUUAAAUUUGAUGAGUUGUUUCACUGUUUUCAAAUAAGUAGUUUCAGCCCUCACUGUGUCCUGAAGCUUAUUCUUACUGCCUUUUUAUGAUUGCUUUAUGCUUUACCAAGCUUAAAUGUAACUAUUGGCAUAUAAUCUCAUGGCUUAAAAUCUUAGUUGAAAAUGUAUUAAAAGUUAUAAGAUCUGGAGUGUGCACUAUAUUUCAUCCAAUGGUAUUCCCAGUAAGUGAAUGUUAAGAGCACAGACGAUCACAUGUUGUACAUUCAAUUACUGGGAAAUGCUUUUAUCUUGCAGGCCAGUUUUACAUUUACUUUUUCAAUAAUGAGAUGACCAUGAACAGAGAUCAAGUUUUUUGCCUUGGCAUUACUACUGUUGUGUACAGAUGGUUACUAAAAGAAGGAUUCAUAGUGGCAUACCUUCACUCGACAGAUGCUUUAACUGCAAGAACUGUUGUUAAUUUUUUCCCUUUCCUCCAAUGAUGGUAGUUCUCCUUUGAUUCUAGAAGCCACAAAGGAGUGAAGGGUAGAGAUUUCCAUCGUUGUUGAAUUGGUGGGAUUGUCACCAAGUUAGUGUUGCAGAUUGUUUCUAUUUUAGAGCAAGAGGCCAAAUCAUGUUGUUCAUUGUAAAUUUUGAAAAACUUGUUGUGUAUUGUCACUUCUAUAUCUAUUAUAAACUUACAUUCCUGGUG